Quercus robur (English oak) is the source of this 1377-nucleotide RNA transcript. It is a transcript of the gene named chloroplast processing peptidase, with no coding region annotated. NCBI's taxonomy places the organism in Eukaryota, Viridiplantae, Streptophyta, Magnoliopsida, Fagales, Fagaceae. The record is from RefSeq and is a predicted model, not a curated record. The transcript is spliced from 7 exons.
CGAUUCCACAUAAAAAAUAGACAAUCUCCAGCCCCUCAUUAUAAAUAAACACUACUAUGACUAUCCUUUACAAUCCCAAACUCAAAAGACAUCUUUUAACUAAAAAAAUUGCUUUGACAAGAAGAGAUGAUAUCUCUUCAUAUCUUCCCUCCAUUACCUUCCUCUCAAGAUCCUAAAUUUAUCUCAACCCAAUUCCUCAAACCCACCAAAAUCCCUAAUUUCACAAUCCUCAACCUUCACCACGAAUACUUAACCUUUGUCUCAAAACCCCCAAAUUUCCCAGGGUUUAACAACAAAACCCACUUCCAGAAACUUCAAUGCCAUGCCAUUAAGGACUCUGGUGAAGACAGCAAGGCUGUGUUCGAAUCUAGUGGUGGUGGUAGUGGUGGUGGUGGUGGUGGUGAUGGUGGGGAUGAUGAGCAAGUGGAGAAGAAGAGUGGGGGUUCUGGGCCUUUGCCAGAAUGGCUGAAUAUCACUUCUGACGAUGCAAAGACGGUGUUUGCGGCACUGGCGAUAUCGCUGGCUUUCCGGUCCUUUGUGGCUGAGCCGAGGUACAUUCCUUCGCUGUCCAUGUAUCCUACAUUUGAUGUUGGAGAUCGAAUUGUUGCGGAAAAGGUUUCGUACUACUUCAGAAAGCCAUGUGCAAAUGAUAUAGUAAUAUUUAAAAGUCCACCCGUACUCCAAGAAGUAGGAUAUACUGAUGAUGAUGUAUUUAUUAAACGAGUUGUUGCCAAGGAAGGUGAUGUAGUGGAGGUUCGUAAAGGGAAGCUUAUAGUUAAUGGGGUUGAGAGAAAAGAAAAUUUCAUCCUUGAACCACCUUCUUAUGACAUGACACCGAUUCGUGUACCAGAGAACUAUGUCUUUGUGAUGGGUGACAACCGUAAUAAUAGCUAUGAUUCACACGUAUGGGGUCCUCUGCCAGCCAAGAAUAUAAUAGGAAGAUCGGUAUUACGGUAUUGGCCCCCAAACAGGGUUGCUGGCACAGUUCUUGAGGCUGGCUGUGCUGUUGACAUGCAGGAGAGCAGUCCAGUGUCUGAAUGAAAUCCAGCCCUGAGGAUGCAUCACCCAUCAAAAAGGAAGAAAAUGAUGAAUGUAAUACAAACCAAUUUAUUCAUCUCCCACCUUAAAGCAAGCAUGAAGCAGCUGGAGAAUGUUAUAGGAAUUUGUCAAUUUGGUUCUCCAAUAGACAACAGCUAUGUACGUCUAUAUUGUGUUUCUAUCGUUUAGAGGCGAAGGUGGUGUUUAUAUUCUGCCGCAUUCUUUGUCAAGGAUUUUUCUAAUGGGCUUCUCAAGUUAUUAUGCUGCGCAUAAGAACCAAAGGAAAAGGCUGCUAACUCUAUUUCUAGCAAUAUUAGCAUAAAAGCUCAUUAUAAAUAA